ACGGAAGUCGUUGUAAUGAAAUAGAAACGGACAGAGAACUCGUUCGAAGAAAGUGGAAGUAGACUUACAACAAUGGCUUUAGUGGCGGACUGGUGAGUAACGCGUAAGGAACCUGCCUUCUAGAGGGGAAUAACAAUGAGAAAUCAUUGCUAAUACCGCAUAUGCCGAGAGAAUCACAUGGUACAAUCGGGAAAAGAGUAAUCUGCUAGAAGAUGGCCUUGCGUCUGAUUAGAUAGUUGGUGGGGUAACGGCCUACCAAGUCGACGAUCAGUAGCCGGACUGAGAGGUUGAACGGCCACAUUGGGACUGAGAUACGGCCCAGACUCCUACGGGAGGCAGCAGUCGGGAAUAUUGCGCAAUGGAGGAAACUCUGACGCAGUGACGCCGCGUAUAGGAAGAAGGUUUUCGGAUUGUAAACUAUUGUCAUUAGGGAAGAUAAAAGACAGUACCUAAGGAGGAAGCUCCGGCUAACUACGUGCCAGCAGCCGCGGUAAUACGUAGGGAGCAAGCGUUAUCCGGAUUUAUUGGGUGUAAAGGGUGCGUAGACGGGAGAUUAAGUUAGUUGUGAAAGCCCUUGGCUUAACUGAGGAAUUGCAACUAAAACUGGUUUUCUUGAGUGCAGGAGAGGUAAGUGGAAUUCCUAGUGUAGCGGUGAAAUGCGUAGAUAUUAGGAGGAACACC
RNAcentral lists this ribosomal RNA (681 nucleotides) under uncultured bacterium. RNAcentral describes it as "bacterial SSU rRNA". It matches the Rfam family "Bacterial small subunit ribosomal RNA", at positions 55 to 710 of the family's 1533-position model. The record is from RNAcentral.